AUGGCGGAAUUGGGGCUGAAAGAGGAUGAUUUGCAGGAUGUUGUCAUCGAAGAGGAUGAACUGCCAUGGGAGGCAACCCGGUGGAUGGCGCUGGCUAGGGUUCACACAGGUAAACCCUAUAGUCAGUAUUGGUUCUAUAGGAACAUGCGUGUGGCUUGGGACUUGGCCUGGGAGGUGAAGAUCAGGCCGCUUGAGGACAAUCUCUAUACAAUGCAGUUUUCGUGUCUUGGAGACUGGGAA
RNAcentral lists this ribosomal RNA (240 nucleotides) under Triticum aestivum (bread wheat). RNAcentral describes it as "partial small subunit ribosomal RNA". Lineage: Eukaryota; Viridiplantae; Streptophyta; Magnoliopsida; Poales; Poaceae. The record is from RNAcentral.